CCUGCCGAUGACUCGGGGAUAGCCUUUCGAAAGAAAGAUUAAUACCCGAUGGCAUAGUUCUUCCGCAUGGUGGAACUAUUAAAGAAUUUCGGUCAUCGAUGGGGAUGCGUUCCAUUAGGUUGUUGGCGGGGUAACGGCCCACCAAGCCUUCGAUGGAUAGGGGUUCUGAGAGGAAGGUCCCCCACAUUGGAACUGAGACACGGUCCAAACUCCUACGGGAGGCAGCAGUGAGGAAUAUUGGUCAAUGGACGAGAGUCUGAACCAGCCAAGUAGCGUGAAGGAUGACUGCCCUAUGGGUUGUAAACUUCUUUUAUACGGGAAUAAAGUGAGGCACGUGUGCCUUUUUGUAUGUACCGUAUGAAUAAGGAUCGGCUAACUCCGUGCCAGCAGCCGCGGUAAUACGGAGGAUCCGAGCGUUAUCCGGAUUUAUUGGGUUUAAAGGGAGCGUAGGCGGACGCUUAAGUCAGUUGUGAAAGUUUGCGGCUCAACCGUAAAAUUGCAGUUGAUACUGGGUGUCUUGAGUACAGUAGAGGCAGGCGGAAUUCGUGGUGUAGCGGUGAAAUGCUUAGAUAUCACGAAGAACUCCGAUUGCGAAGGCAGCUUGCUGGACUGUAACUGACGCUGAUGCUCGAAAGUGUGGGUAUCAAACAGGAUUAGAUACCCUGGUAGUCCACACAGUAAACGAUGAAUACUCGCUGUUUGCGAUAUACAGUAAGCGGCCAAGCGAAAGCGUUAAGUAUUCCACCUGGGGAGUAC
Molecule: ribosomal RNA, 756 nt
Filed under: uncultured bacterium
Lineage: Bacteria
Description: bacterial SSU rRNA
Rfam family: Bacterial small subunit ribosomal RNA
Source: RNAcentral